This 1780-nucleotide ribosomal RNA is filed under the name Staphylococcus aureus. RNAcentral's name for it is "partial 23S ribosomal RNA". It matches the Rfam family "Bacterial large subunit ribosomal RNA", at positions 412 to 2196 of the family's 2925-position model. The record is from RNAcentral. Lineage: Bacteria; Bacillati; Bacillota; Bacilli; Caryophanales; Staphylococcaceae.
GUACGACGGAGCACGUGAAAUUCCGUCGGAAUCUGGGAGGACCAUCUCCUAAGGCUAAAUACUCUCUAGUGACCGAUAGUGAACCAGUACCGUGAGGGAAAGGUGAAAAGCACCCCGGAAGGGGAGUGAAAUAGAACCUGAAACCGUGUGCUUACAAGUAGUCAGAGCCCGUUAAUGGGUGAUGGCGUGCCUUUUGUAGAAUGAACCGGCGAGUUACGAUUUGAUGCAAGGUUAAGCAGUAAAUGUGGAGCCGUAGCGAAAGCGAGUCUGAAUAGGGCGUUUAGUAUUUGGUCGUAGACCCGAAACCAGGUGAUCUACCCUUGGUCAGGUUGAAGUUCAGGUAACACUGAAUGGAGGACCGAACCGACUUACGUUGAAAAGUGAGCGGAUGAACUGAGGGUAGCGGAGAAAUUCCAAUCGAACCUGGAGAUAGCUGGUUCUCUCCGAAAUAGCUUUAGGGCUAGCCUCAAGUGAUGAUUAUUGGAGGUAGAGCACUGUUUGGACGAGGGGCCCCUCUCGGGUUACCGAAUUCAGACAAACUCCGAAUGCCAAUUAAUUUAACUUGGGAGUCAGAACAUGGGUGAUAAGGUCCGUGUUCGAAAGGGAAACAGCCCAGACCACCAGCUAAGGUCCCAAAAUAUAUGUUAAGUGGAAAAGGAUGUGGCGUUGCCCAGACAACUAGGAUGUUGGCUUAGAAGCAGCCAUCAUUUAAAGAGUGCGUAAUAGCUCACUAGUCGAGUGACACUGCGCCGAAAAUGUACCGGGGCUAAACAUAUUACCGAAGCUGUGGAUUGUCCUUUGGACAAUGGUAGGAGAGCGUUCUAAGGGCGUUGAAGCAUGAUCGUAAGGACAUGUGGAGCGCUUAGAAGUGAGAAUGCCGGUGUGAGUAGCGAAAGACGGGUGAGAAUCCCGUCCACCGAUUGACUAAGGUUUCCAGAGGAAGGCUCGUCCGCUCUGGGUUAGUCGGGUCCUAAGCUGAGGCCGACAGGCGUAGGCGAUGGAUAACAGGUUGAUAUUCCUGUACCACCUAUAAUCGUUUUAAUCGAUGGGGGGACGCAGUAGGAUAGGCGAAGCGUGCGAUUGGAUUGCACGUCUAAGCAGUAAGGCUGAGUAUUAGGCAAAUCCGGUACUCGUUAAGGCUGAGCUGUGAUGGGGAGAAGACAUUGUGUCUUCGAGUCGUUGAUUUCACACUGCCGAGAAAAGCCUCUAGAUAGAAAAUAGGUGCCCGUACCGCAAACCGACACAGGUAGUCAAGAUGAGAAUUCUAAGGUGAGCGAGCGAACUCUCGUUAAGGAACUCGGCAAAAUGACCCCGUAACUUCGGGAGAAGGGGUGCUCUUUAGGGUUAACGCCCAGAAGAGCCGCAGUGAAUAGGCCCAAGCGACUGUUUAUCAAAAACACAGGUCUCUGCUAAACCGUAAGGUGAUGUAUAGGGGCUGACGCCUGCCCGGUGCUGGAAGGUUAAGAGGAGUGGUUAGCUUCUGCGAAGCUACGAAUCGAAGCCCCAGUAAACGGCGGCCGUAACUAUAACGGUCCUAAGGUAGCGAAAUUCCUUGUCGGGUAAGUUCCGACCCGCACGAAAGGCGUAACGAUUUGGGCACUGUCUCAACGAGAGACUCGGUGAAAUCAUAGUACCUGUGAAGAUGCAGGUUACCCGCGACAGGACGGAAAGACCCCGUGGAGCUUUACUGUAGCCUGAUAUUGAAAUUCGGCACAGCUUGUACAGGAUAGGUAGGAGCCUUUGAAACGUGAGCGCUAGCUUACGUGGAGGCGCUGGUGGG